Long non-coding RNA from Humulus lupulus (European hop), 722 nucleotides. RefSeq lists it as uncharacterized. Lineage: Eukaryota; Viridiplantae; Streptophyta; Magnoliopsida; Rosales; Cannabaceae. The record is from RefSeq and is a predicted model, not a curated record. The transcript is spliced from 3 exons.
UAAAGUCAAAAUUUGAAGAAGAUAACCAUUUUGGGAAAGGAGUAUGAUCACCCUUUUAUCUCCAAUCAAUUGUGAUAAAGGAAAAUAAUAAGAAAUUAAAAGAAAAUAAAAAGAGAAAGGAAACUUACCAUUUUAUUUGAUUAGGCUUUAUUGAGAGAAUUAAGAUAAAGGGGGAAGGAAAAUUUGGGAAGGGUCAUUCUUGCUCUUGGCUGUGUGUUGAAGAGAGGAAGAGAGAGAGAGGGUGGCGAGCUAGAGAGAGAAAGGGGAAGGGGCUGCCAUUUUUCUAGAGAGAAGGUGGAGGAGAAAGGAAGAAGAAGAAGGAGGUCCUAGGGUAUUCAAAGGUGAUUAUCACUUGGGUGUUGAUCAAGUUGUGUUCUUGAUUUUACAAUCAAGAGAGGUAGCAAAUAGGUUUUCUCUGUGGCACGCGUGGUGAUGUGGGGAGUUCUAUCGUCCUGGUGUGUAUGGCGUUGGGGCAUCCUAUGGGCGAAAAACGAUCAAUUAAAAACGCCAUUUUUAAUAAUGUUAUGUUUUAUUAGACUUUUUUUUAAAACUUAUCAGUGGGACUUGAAUUAUUGGUUGUGUUUAGAAAUUUGCAUAAAAACUGAUAUUUUCUUUUAAAACUAUUGGGCUCAACUUGCAUGUUUUUAAGCAAGACCCCACUGAAACCUUUAUAAUAAGUGGAUUUCUUUUAUAGACCAAUGAAAAUGUGAAUGUUUUAUUAA